CACGUAGGGCGCGAGCGUUGUCCGGAAUUAUUGGGCGUAAAGAGCUCGUAGGCGGUCUGUUGCGUCCGCUGUGAAAACUCGAGGCUCAACCUCGAGACGUCGGUGGAAACCGUUUGGCUAGAGUCCGGAAGAGGAGAGUGGAAUUCCCGGUGUAGCGGUGAAAUGCGCAGAUAUCGGGAAGAACACCCGUGGCGAAGGCGGCUCUCUGGGGCGGUACUGACGCUGAGACGCGAAAGCGUGGGGAGCGAACAGG
Molecule: ribosomal RNA, 253 nt
Filed under: uncultured bacterium
Lineage: Bacteria
Description: partial 16S ribosomal RNA
Rfam family: Bacterial small subunit ribosomal RNA
Source: RNAcentral